AUUGAACGCUGGCGGCAGGCCUAACACAUGCAAGUCGAACGGUAACAGGAAGCAGCUUGCUGCUUUGCUGACGAGUGGCGGACGGGUGAGUAAUGUCUGGGAAACUGCCCGAUGGAGGGGGAUAACUACUGGAAACGGUAGCUAAUACCGCAUAACGUCGCAAGACCAAAGAGGGGGACCUUAGGGCCUCUUGCCAUCGGAUGUGCCCAGAUGGGAUUAGCUAGUAGGUGGGGUAACGGCUCACCUAGGCGACGAUCCCUAGCUGGUCUGAGAGGAUGACCAGCCACACUGGAACUGAGACACGGUCCAGACUCCUACGGGAGGCAGCAGUGGGGAAUAUUGCACAAUGGGCGCAAGCCUGAUGCAGCCAUGCCGCGUGUAUGAAGAAGGCCUUCGGGUUGUAAAGUACUUUCAGCGGGGAGGAAGGGAGUAAAGUUAAUACCUUUGCUCAUUGACGUUACCCGCAGAAGAAGCGCCGGCUAACUCCGU
RNAcentral lists this ribosomal RNA (489 nucleotides) under uncultured bacterium. RNAcentral's name for it is "partial 16S ribosomal RNA". It matches the Rfam family "Bacterial small subunit ribosomal RNA", at positions 30 to 506 of the family's 1533-position model. The record is from RNAcentral.